GAUACCACCCUUGUAGUACUGGGACUCUAACCAUAGGCCAUGAAUCUGGUCUUGGGACACUGUCAGGUGGGCAGUUUGACUGGGGCGGUCGCCUCCCAAAAGGUAACGGAGGCGCUCAAAGGUUCUCCCAGUACGGUCGGAAAUCGUACGUAGAGUGUAAAGGCAAAAGAGAGCUUGAUUGCAAGACAUACAGGUCGAGCAAGGAUGAAAAUCGGACUUAGUGA
RNAcentral lists this ribosomal RNA (224 nucleotides) under Clostridioides difficile. RNAcentral describes it as "partial 23S ribosomal RNA". It matches the Rfam family "Bacterial large subunit ribosomal RNA", at positions 2196 to 2418 of the family's 2925-position model. Lineage: Bacteria; Bacillati; Bacillota; Clostridia; Peptostreptococcales; Peptostreptococcaceae. The record is from RNAcentral.